Molecule: long non-coding RNA, 745 nt
Organism: Oncorhynchus tshawytscha (Chinook salmon)
Lineage: Eukaryota; Metazoa; Chordata; Actinopteri; Salmoniformes; Salmonidae
Source: Ensembl
GUUCUGUGUUGGUUGUUGCUCAGAGACAGGUUUUGUAAAGGAUUUUGUAGCUGGUCCUGCUAAGAGGGGAAGGCACCUUGGGAGUGUUUAGGCAGGAGGCCUGCGGGCAUGCAUAUACCUGUCGUAUGUACUCGAGUCUAUGCACACUUGCCCCUUUUCCCCAAAUUACCGUGUGAAGGAAGAAUAAAUUCCCUGUUAACGGAGACUGUUACCAUGGCCACCAUGACCCUAUCACUGCUUCUCCCCGCUGUUCUGCUCGGAACACUUGACAGGUUAUGAUCAUAGAUGCCAGGCACACCGGUUUGAGUGUGUCAAGAACUGCAACGCUGCUGGGUUUAUCACAACAGUUUCCCGUGGGUACCAAAGGACAUCCGUAGAACUUGACACAACUGUGGGAAGCAUUGGCGUCAACAUGGGCCAGCAUCCCUGCGGAACACUUUCCACACCUUGUAGAGUCCACGCCCCGAUGAAUUGAGGUUGUUCUGAAGACCAAAAAGGGGGUGCAACUCAAUAUUAGGAAGGUGUUCUUAAUGUUUUGUCUGUCAUUGUAUGCAUAUUUCUAUUUUUAAGAAAGCAAAAAUGGCAAAUAAUUGCAUCUUGUUAUAGUCACCAGUUAUUUUUUUUAAAAUGUGUCCCAUCACCCAUUUGCACAAAAUACUAGGCCUGCUUGCAAUGCAAUACUUCAACCAUAAGGAAUUGUGCAUACGCAUGGUCUAACGUUUGCAGAAAGCUAAGAACAUUCUCA